Molecule: non-coding RNA, 163 nt
Filed under: Triticum aestivum (bread wheat)
Lineage: Eukaryota; Viridiplantae; Streptophyta; Magnoliopsida; Poales; Poaceae
Source: Rfam by way of RNAcentral
CAAAGGUAACCGGUAGGUGACUGUUGAAUCGACAGUAGUUACGAAAGGGGGAAAUAGCUCAGUUUGGGCUUGGAAGCAGCCAUCCUUUGAAGAAAGCGUAAUAGCUCACUGGUCUAGCUCCAUGGCACCGAAAAUGUCUCAGGGCUCAAGUGAUUCACCGAAG